CUUGACUGUAGCUUGGAAUUGGGUUCGGGCUCUUCUUGCGCAGCCUAGGUGGGAGGCGUUGAAAGUUUUCUUUCGGGAAAACUGGAGCCAACAGUGAGAGACCACUCUGGAGGAGCUAGAAUUCUAAUGGCGUUCCUUGAAGCAGGACGCUUGACAGUUUCAGGUGGGCAGUUUGACUGGGGCGGUCACCUCCUAAAAGGUAACGGAGGUGUGCAAAGGUUCCCUCAGGCUGGACGGAAAUCAGCCGUAGAGUGUAAAGGCAGAAGGGGGCUUGACUGCAAGACCUACAAGUCGAGCAGGGGCGAAAGCCGGCCUUAGUGAUCCGACGGUUCCAUGUGGAAGGGCCGUCGCUCAACGGAUAAAAGUUA
This 368-nucleotide ribosomal RNA is filed under the name uncultured organism. Its description in RNAcentral is "bacterial LSU rRNA". It matches the Rfam family "Bacterial large subunit ribosomal RNA", at positions 2099 to 2465 of the family's 2925-position model. The record is from RNAcentral.